This 253-nucleotide ribosomal RNA is filed under the name uncultured bacterium. Its description in RNAcentral is "partial 16S ribosomal RNA". It matches the Rfam family "Bacterial small subunit ribosomal RNA", at positions 524 to 776 of the family's 1533-position model. The record is from RNAcentral.
UACGUAGGGGGCAAGCGUUGUCCGGAUUUAUUGGGCGUAAAGAGCGUGUAGGCGGCCAGGUAGGUCAGCUGUGAAAACUCGAGGCUCAACCUCGAGACGCCGGUUGAAACCAUCUGGCUAGAGUCCGGAAGAGGAGAGUGGAAUUCCUGGUGUAGCGGUGAAAUGCGCAGAUAUCAGGAAGAACACCCGUGGCUAAGGCGGCUCUCUAGUACGGUACUGACGCUGAGGCACGAAAGCGUGGGGAGCAAACAGG